RNAcentral lists this ribosomal RNA (253 nucleotides) under uncultured bacterium. RNAcentral's name for it is "partial 16S ribosomal RNA". It matches the Rfam family "Bacterial small subunit ribosomal RNA", at positions 524 to 776 of the family's 1533-position model. The record is from RNAcentral.
GACGUAGGGCGCGAGCGUUGUCCGGAUUUAUUGGGCGUAAAGAGCUCGUAGGCGGCUUGUCGCGUCGACUGUGAAAACCCACGGCUUAACUGUGGGCUUGCAGUCGAUACGGGCAGGCUAGAGUUCGGUAGGGGAGACUGGAAUUCCUGGUGUAGCGGUGAAAUGCGCAGAUAUCAGGAAGAACACCAAUGGCGAAGGCAGCUCUCUGGGACGGUACUGACGCUGAGACGCGAAAGCGUGGGGAGCGAACAGG